AGUCGAGCGGCAGCGCGGGGCAACCUGGCGGCGAGCGGCGAACGGGUGAGUAAUGCAUCGGAACAUGUCCAUUCGUGGGGGAUAGCCCGGCGAAAGCCGGAUUAAUACCGCAUACGCCCGAGAGGGGAAAGUGGGGGACCGCAAGGCCUCACGCGAUUGGGUUGGCCGAUGUCCGAUUAGCUAGUUGGCGGGGUAAAGGCCCACCAAGGCGAUGAUCGGUAGCUGGUCUGAGAGGAUGAUCAGCCACACUGGGACUGAGACACGGCCCAGACUCCUACGGGAGGCAGCAGUGGGGAAUUUUGGACAAUGGGGGAAACCCUGAUCCAGCCAUUCCGCGUGAGUGAAGAAGGCCUUCGGGUUGUAAAGCUCUUUCGUCCGGAACGAAACGGUUGUGGUGAAUAGCCCCGACUACUGACGGUACCGGAAGAAUAAGCACCGGCUAACUACAUGCCAGCAGCCGCGGUAAUACGUAGGGUGCGAGCGUUAAUCGGAAUUACUGGGCGUAAAGCGUGCGCAGGCGGUUUUGUAAGCCAGAUGUGAAAUCCCCGGGCUUAACCUGGGAAUGGCAUUUGGGACUGCAAGGCUUGAGUGCGGCAGAGGAGACUGGAAUUCCCGGUGUAGCAGUGAAAUGCGUAGAUAUCGGGAGGAAUACCGAUGGCGAAGGCAGGUCUCUGGGCUGACACUGACGCUCAUGCACGAAAGCGUGGGGAGCAAACAGGAUUAGAUACCCUGGUAGUCCACGCCCUAAACGAUGUCGACUGGUUGUUGGGGGUUUGACACUCUCAGUAACGAAGCUAACGCGUGAAGUCGACCGCCUGGGGGAGUACGGCCGCAAGGUUUAAAAACUCAAAGG
RNAcentral lists this ribosomal RNA (853 nucleotides) under uncultured beta proteobacterium. RNAcentral describes it as "bacterial SSU rRNA". It matches the Rfam family "Bacterial small subunit ribosomal RNA", at positions 60 to 907 of the family's 1533-position model. Lineage: Bacteria; Pseudomonadati; Pseudomonadota; Betaproteobacteria. The record is from RNAcentral.